Molecule: ribosomal RNA, 647 nt
Filed under: uncultured Escherichia sp.
Lineage: Bacteria; Pseudomonadati; Pseudomonadota; Gammaproteobacteria; Enterobacterales; Enterobacteriaceae
Description: bacterial SSU rRNA
Rfam family: Bacterial small subunit ribosomal RNA
Source: RNAcentral
UUGAACGCUGGCGGCAGGCCUAACACAUGCAAGUCGAGCGGUAGCACAGAGAGCUUGCUCUCGGGUGACGAGCGGCGGACGGGUGAGUAAUGUCUGGGAAACUGCCUGAUGGAGGGGGAUAACUACUGGAAACGGUAGCUAAUACCGCAUAACGUCGCAAGACCAAAGUGGGGGACCUUCGGGCCUCAUGCCAUCAGAUGUGCCCAGAUGGGAUUAGCUAGUAGGUGGGGUAACGGCUCACCUAGGCGACGAUCCCUAGCUGGUCUGAGAGGAUGACCAGCCACACUGGAACUGAGACACGGUCCAGACUCCUACGGGAGGCAGCAGUGGGGAAUAUUGCACAAUGGGCGCAAGCCUGAUGCAGCCAUGCCGCGUGUAUGAAGAAGGCCUUCGGGUUGUAAAGUACUUUCAGCGGGGAGGAAGGGAGUAAAGUUAAUACCUUUGCUCAUUGACGUUACCCGCAGAAGAAGCACCGGCUAACUCCGUGCCAGCAGCCGCGGUAAUACGGAGGGUGCAAGCGUUAAUCGGAAUUACUGGGCGUAAAGCGCACGCAGGCGGUUUGUUAAGUCAGAUGUGAAAUCCCCGGGCUCAACCUGGGAACUGCAUCUGAUACUGGCAAGCUUGAGUCUCGUAGAGGGGGGUAGAAU